ACCAUCCCCUACUUCUUUGUCCUCAAUACUUCACCAUCACUACCUGGGAUCAAAUUCAAACAAACUACAUGUACCCAAGACUUUAUCCCUGACUCCACUUUGGGGACAACCCAAACUAAGACAGGAAGUGUGUCUUGAGUGUUCGAUCUCCUUUUAUAUCCUCUUUGGGAAGAUACAUCUUCAAGUGUGACUGGCAUUCCUUGACCAAUGUGCAUUUUGGCUCCAUAUUCUGCUAUCUCUAGUCACCUUCUGGUUCUGGACUUUGCCCAAUUCUUCCACACCUUAUAGAAGCUUCUCUAUCUUUGUUGUUGUUGUUGUUGUUUAAUUCCCAUAGGGAUCCAAAAUUUUCCUAAAUAAAAUGUUCUUUAAGUGUGUGUUCAAAUGGCAUUGAUAGGCUACUUGGUUUAUGGCACUUGCUAUAUCACAUUGAUAUUUUAUCAAAGCCUUAACCCAAAGCAGUGGGUCCACUGGUAGGAAUUUGGGUUCCCUCCAAGUCUUGUCAAAGAGGCUAACAGCAAUGCUGCUGACACAGGGAAUUUGCCCUGCCAACACCCUUCUGCAAGAAACAAAUCCCCAAAUGUGUGAGUCAAAUGGGAAACUGGAGAGCAUAAUGAAAUGCAUGAUUCCAGAAUCACUGUGUGUUGUGUUUAUUCAAGAAAAUCUUAGAAUUAUUGACUAGAGCACCUGAUGCAGAAAAAUACAAAGUUAUGAACUUGACUGAGGCAAGAUUUUACUCAUUACAUAAAAAGUUUCUGUGCUUUACAAAACAUUAUCCCCUUUUGAUGCUCUUUACCAUAUAAAUAGACAAUGUGGGAUUUCUUAUAAUUAUUUACUCUAAAACUCCUUGAAGUGAGAGGAUUAUCUUGUCCAUUUUUAAAUUUCUAUUACCUAGUAGAUUAGACCUUGUAAAUAUUUGUGGAAAUGAGCAUGUGAAACACCUAAACAUUUCUGUUAUUUAUGUAGCACUAACUGCCUAGCAAAUUCUGUUUAGGGUUAGAUGAGGGCUUUUACAGUACAAUUUAAAGUGGUAUUUAUUAUGUGGUACUGUCAGCUGAAGAUCACUCAGAGAUAACUCAUUAUAUCUGAGCUGGAAUAAAGCAAGAACAUGGCACACUGGGAACUAUAUCUAGUCACUUAUGAUGGAGCAUGAUAAUGUGAGAAAAAGGAAUGUAUAUUGGGCCACUUUGCUGUACGUACAGUAGAAAACUGACAGAACACUGUAAACCAGCUAUAAUGGAAAAAAGUAAAAAUCAUUAAAAAAAGAAAGCGGGGCAGACAUGGAUUUCGAUCCUGGUUCUGUCAAUUCAGAGCUCACUGACCUUGGACAAUACACCUAACAUCUCCAAACCUCAUCUUGAAAAUGGAAUAAUAAUAAUACUUAUUUCGUAAGAGGUUUUGGAAGGUAAAAUUUAAAUAAGAUAAUGUACAUAAAGCCCUGAACAUGUACCACCCUUAGUCUGUGCUCACUAAUUUGUUAUCCCUAGUACUAUUUCUAUCAUUGUUAUUCAGUUUCCCUGGUACCACACAACUGGUGCUUGAUAGAUCCAGGACAAUAAACUGACUUAAUGAUUUUCAAACCAUUUUUCUUUUCACUGUAAAACACUGGGUCCUUGGGAGUUCCUGUGGUGGCACAGUGGAAACGAAUCUGACUAGUAUGCAUGAGGAUUCAGGUUCGGCCUCACUCAGUGGGUUAAGGAUCUGGCAUUGCCCUGAGCUGUGGUGUAGGUUGCAGAUGCAGCUUGGAUCCUGCGUUGCUGUGGUUGUGGUGUAGGCUGGCAGCUACAGUCUGAUUCGACCCCUAUACUGGGAACCUCCUUAUGCCGUGGUUGCAGCCCUAAAAAAAAAAAAAAAAAAAAAAAA
This 1860-nucleotide long non-coding RNA is filed under the name Sus scrofa (pig). RNAcentral's name for it is "lncRNA (ENSSSCG00065053460.1)". The record is from RNAcentral. Lineage: Eukaryota; Metazoa; Chordata; Mammalia; Artiodactyla; Suidae.